Molecule: long non-coding RNA, 927 nt
Organism: Herpailurus yagouaroundi (jaguarundi)
Lineage: Eukaryota; Metazoa; Chordata; Mammalia; Carnivora; Felidae
Exons: 4
Source: RefSeq, a predicted model, not a curated record
AUGAAUCGCUGCUCUCAAAGAUUCGCUUCCCUUUGCCGUUAUUGAGAGUAAUCCCUGCAGCAGUUAGUGUCAGAGUUCUGGAGUUCGAGUUCUUUGGGUAGGAGUAUGAAUCCAGAAAAUCACCUAGCUUCUCUAAAAGCCUGUUGUGGGCGUUUUUGGUUUUGGUUUUGUUUUGUUUUGUUUUUCAAAAAGGGGCUAAUGAAAGAGUAAACAGAUGCGAUGACUUUGGAACCAACUACUGAAGGAAGAUUUCCAGGCAAUCAGGAGUGGGAUUGACUCCUUUCUUUGCAGAGGAAAUGGGACGUGCACAGGCCAGGAAGCAGGACAUAGCACUCGCUAAGGAUUUCCCAAUAGUCUGAAGUGUUGCCGGCUUGGAAGGGAGGAGAUGGGCCUGGGAUAAGCAGAAACUGAAGCUGAAAAGAUAAGGAUACCAUGAGGAAGGAGGGGCCUGGAGGGAGACAGUGUUGUCCACUGGUGCCAGUGGAGUCAGACAUUUUCAGAGCAUGCUCAUAGAACUGGGGAGGCUCUUCAUGAUGAGAACAAAGGCAAAAAAGAUGAUGCUCGCUUCCCUAAGGAAUGAACUGGAGGAUAGGAUCUCACGCACCUACAGAUGCGUUCUUGCAGACAGCACGCAGACUCAUCAAUUUAUGCCCGGCUGAAAUGGAUUAGAUCUCAAACCUGCAGAGGUCCACAGCCACUGGAGCCAGAGCAUCCAUGGACGUCGGAGGCAGGCGGGCGCAGCAGGGCUCCCGAGCUGCAGCCUCUCUUUCCCCAGAUGCCCUGGAGAUUUAUUUCAUCUUAAUUAACCACGAGAGCUAUAGCACUGAGGAUUGAAUUUUUCGAGAGAGCACACGCCCGCUUUUUGUCUGCUUCCCUUCCUCCGGUCCCCACAAUGGCAUCGAAAUAAAAAAAAAAGAAAGAAAGAAA